GAGUGCGCGCGUCUAUCAAUCCCACAUGGCUUUUAUUUACAUGAGCUUGUUAAAGAAUACACAAGAAAGUGCUAACAGCAAGGCUUCGGAGCCUCUUCCGUCUGGGUCAUCACCUCUCGACGGCAGAGGGAGGCUUGCGCGGUCUGCAGGCAGGCAGGCUCUUCAGGCCCCUCUCCAGCACUUUUCAUCGCCGCUAAACUUCUGUGGCGAGUUAAACCCGAGAACACCGAAGGGGAAGCGCGCGGGAGGCGUGUGUGGUGUCCUCCGCGUUACCGACAACCGCUGGGCAUGGUGCAAAUAACGGGACGAAGAAGAAUUGAUGACCGCUAUCAGAAGCGUUAAUAGAACGUUUCUGUUAGAAGGGAAUUACAUGGUUAUGUUUGUAUGGCUUUUCGUAGGAAAAUAUUUCAUAUUAAUUGGCUACAGUACAAAUCUUAGGAUAGAAAAUGCCUCCUCGUAUCUGGCUCCGUAUAGAAACCAACGAGGUAGAGCAAAUUUGUUGCUAACCUGCGGCUUAUAUAGUAUUUCAUUUAUUGGAGAGCCUAGUUAAAUCCUAAACCUGCUGUUAUAUACCCAUUUAUGGAGCAAACACUCUAUGCUCUUCUACUGGUUUAAUAUACUAUUUGCUUAAUGGGCCAUUGACAUAAUCAUUUGAUAUAGAUCCUAGUCAUACCAUGUUACCAAGCUAUGAUAUAUUAAUAUAGCUACAUAUUAAUGGCAGAGGGCAAGCAUGUUAUAUUAUUAUCCAUGACCAAUUAGUUUCUAUCUAUCUUAGGGAUACAGCUAUCUAGGUGUUAGUCUUUACAGGCCUGAUUUUUAGAAGUCUGAGUACUCACAGCUUUAAUUGAAGUCAAAUGUGUUUCUGGAUGUACCCGUUAUUCAGGGCUACUCAUUCAGGGCCCUCUAUAUAAUAUAAUCUUUGAACAUGUAACUACAUUGUAUAUUUCUACUUGCAGUUGGAGACUUUUAUGUUUAAUUACUGUUAGCUGGGGUUUUUUUUCAUUUGUCUCCAAUGGAUAAUUAAAUAAUGCUUUUCUUUCUCUUUUCAGCUUUCUACUUGAUCAGCCAGGAGAUGGCCUAUAAAGUCAAAAGAGUGUGUCUAUGUGAGGAAAGCAUGACAUUUUGCAGUUUUUUCAUUAAUAAAUAUGGAUAUAUUUGGUUGUUCA
RNAcentral lists this long non-coding RNA (1166 nucleotides) under Struthio camelus australis. RNAcentral describes it as "lncRNA (ENSSCUG00000011929.1)". The record is from RNAcentral. Lineage: Eukaryota; Metazoa; Chordata; Aves; Struthioniformes; Struthionidae.